GACCAAGGAGUCUAACAUGUGCGCGAGUCAUUGGGACUGCGAAGCCUAAAGGCGAAAUGAAAGUGAAGGUCGUACCGUAAGGUCGACAGAGGGAGGAUGGGCCGUGUCUGGGCGCGGCUCCGCACUCCCGGGGCGUCUCGUUCUCAUUGCGAGAAGAGGCGCACCCAGAGCGUACACGUUGGGACCCGAAAGAUGGUGAACUAUGCCUGGUCAGGACGAAGUCAGGGGAAACCCUGAUGGAGGUCCGUAGCGAUUCUGACGUGCAAAUCGAUCGUCGGAACUGGGUAUAGGGGCGAAAGACUAAUCGAACCAUC
Molecule: ribosomal RNA, 314 nt
Filed under: Belonogaster juncea colonialis
Lineage: Eukaryota; Metazoa; Arthropoda; Insecta; Hymenoptera; Vespidae
Description: eukaryotic LSU rRNA
Rfam family: Eukaryotic large subunit ribosomal RNA
Source: RNAcentral